UCAGAGCAAGAGGGCAAGGAGACAAACCCUAACUUCACAAAUUCUCAAAAAUCAGAAGGAAAUUAGGAGUUCUAAUGGAUGCAUGAACCCUAAAUCGAAUAAUCUAAGCUUGUUCAACUCUUGGUGUUAAGGAAGAGGGCUCGAGUCAAGUGAAGAAACAAGGGAACCAAGAUCGAGGUAAAUCUCAAGUUUAAUGACAAGCUUUGCCCGGUCCGAACACACUUCAAGCUCGUCAUGCGUUCUGCAACUUUUGUAAAGAAGACAAUGUUAAUAUGUUUGUUUUAUUAGAUAUGUCUAGUAGUUAAAAGCUUGAACUUUGUCUUGUUCGUUUUUUUUAAAACUUAGUCGGUCGUAAGUAAUCUAGCAUGAUGGUUUCGUAUGUGAAACCAAGGUCCGUUUUGAUGUAGUACAUUAUGUCUUUUGAAACGUAGCGUAUGUU
Helianthus annuus (common sunflower) is the source of this 439-nucleotide long non-coding RNA. RefSeq lists it as uncharacterized. The transcript is spliced from 3 exons. Lineage: Eukaryota; Viridiplantae; Streptophyta; Magnoliopsida; Asterales; Asteraceae. The record is from RefSeq and is a predicted model, not a curated record.